RNAcentral lists this transfer RNA (77 nucleotides) under Christensenellaceae bacterium. RNAcentral describes it as "tRNA-His". It matches the Rfam family "tRNA". Rfam says of the family: Transfer RNA (tRNA) molecules are approximately 80 nucleotides in length. Their secondary structure includes four short double-helical elements and three loops (D, anti-codon, and T loops). Lineage: Bacteria; Bacillati; Bacillota; Clostridia; Christensenellales; Christensenellaceae. The record is from RNAcentral.
GUAACUGUAGUUCAGUUGGUUAGAACGCCGGAUUGUGACUCCGGAGGUCGCAGGUUCGAGUCCCGUCAGUUGCCCCA